This 253-nucleotide ribosomal RNA is filed under the name uncultured bacterium. Its description in RNAcentral is "partial 16S ribosomal RNA". It matches the Rfam family "Bacterial small subunit ribosomal RNA", at positions 524 to 776 of the family's 1533-position model. The record is from RNAcentral.
UACAGAGGGUGCGAGCGUUAAUCGGAAUUACUGGGCGUAAAGCGCGCGUAGGCGGCUUUGCAAGUCGGGUGUGAAAUCCCCAGGCUUAACCUGGGAACUGCAUUCGAGACUGCAUUGCUAGAGUAUGGGAGAGGGAAGUGGAAUUUCCGGUGUAGCGGUGAAAUGCGUAGAUAUCUGGAGGAAUACCGGUGGCGAAGGCGGCAUCCUGGACCGGCAUUGACGCUGAGGAGCGAAAGCUAGGGGAGCAAACGGG